RNAcentral lists this ribosomal RNA (253 nucleotides) under uncultured bacterium. RNAcentral describes it as "partial 16S ribosomal RNA". It matches the Rfam family "Bacterial small subunit ribosomal RNA", at positions 524 to 776 of the family's 1533-position model. The record is from RNAcentral.
UACGGAGGGUGCAAGCGUUAUCCGGAUUCACUGGGCUUAAAGGGUGCGUAGGAGGGUAGGUAAGUCAGUGGUGAAAUCUCCGAGCUUAACUUGGAAACUGCCGUUGAUACUAUCUGCCUUGAAUAUUGUGGAGGUGAGCGGAAUAUGUCAUGUAGCGGUGAAAUGCUUAGAUAUGACAUAGAACACCAAUUGCGAAGGCAGCUCGCUACACAUAUAUUGACACUGAUGCACGAAAGCGUGGGGAUCAAACAGG